AACUUGUCCAUGUAGACCAAUUUGGGUUUCCAAUCUCUCCAAAAGAAUGUGGUGAUAGAUGGAAUCAAAAGCACAGCCUCGGACUGACGCCAUUAAAAGGUAAUUUACCACCUUCACGAGUGCCGUCUCAGUGCUAUGAUGGGGUCUAAAACCAGACUGAAGCGUUUCGAAGACAUUGUUUGACUUCAGGAAGGCAGUGAGUUGCUGCGCAACAGCUUUUUCUGAAGUUUUUGAGAGGAAUGGGAGAUUCGAUAUAGGCCGAUAGUUUUUUUAUUUUCUGGGUCAAGGUUUGGCUUUUUCAGGAGCGGCUUUAUUACUGCCUGUUACGUACACCACUUGGCAGAGGGAACGCAACACCCUGCUACAACUCAACUCCCCAUGGAGUGAAAAAGCCCCCCACCAUCCUAUCCCCAAACGAAAACCCACUCAUCCAAUCCCACUGGAGAUGGCACCUCCCAUCAGGAAAUGUUUUGAAUAUCCCCGUGGCCCCAAAGCUCCAAAAAGAAUGGUUGUUGCCUCCUCCACAUGCUCACCCAAUGUACAAAUUCUGUUGAACCGGAUCAACUGGGAUUUAAUUAUCGAUCUAAAGGUUGGCAAAGGCUGGAGCAAACUUCUUCCCCAUAGCCGUUCCAUGGAUCUGAAGUGAUGCCUUUCGGCUUGCGGAAUGGUCCAGCCACCUUCCUGAGGCUGAUGAAUCGGGUGGUCUCAGGUCUGGAAGGGUGUGCCGUGUAUUUGGACGACGUGGUCGUCUACUCAGCCUCCUGGGAGAAGCAUGUCUGGAGAGUGCAAGCCCUGUUCGAAAGACUGGUGUGGGCCAGGUUGACUAUCAAUUUGGCAAAGUGUGAGUUUGCCAAAGCUACAGUCACAUACCUAGGCAAGGUUGUUGGUCAGGGUGUUUUCUGUCCCGUGGAAGCCAAGGUCCAGGCUGUGAAGCAGUUCCCACAGCCCUCCACAAAGAAAGAACUGAUGGGCUUCCUGGGAAUGGCGGGGUACUACCGUGCUUUCUGUAAACUUUCGGUAGUAGUGUCCCCACUGAGCAAUCUGUUGAAGGCCAAGGCUGAAUUUAUCUGGUCCACCCAGUGUCAAGAGGCAUUUGAUGCAGUUAAGGCUCUUUUGUGUUUGGCACCCGUGUUGGCAGCACCAAAUUUUGGGAAACCUUUCAAAUUGCAGGUAGACGCCAG
This 1181-nucleotide long non-coding RNA is filed under the name Salmo salar (Atlantic salmon). RNAcentral describes it as "lncRNA (ENSSSAG00000089322.1)". Lineage: Eukaryota; Metazoa; Chordata; Actinopteri; Salmoniformes; Salmonidae. The record is from RNAcentral.